This is a long non-coding RNA of Monomorium pharaonis (pharaoh ant), 1078 nucleotides long. RefSeq lists it as uncharacterized. The transcript has 3 exons. Lineage: Eukaryota; Metazoa; Arthropoda; Insecta; Hymenoptera; Formicidae. The record is from RefSeq and is a predicted model, not a curated record.
UCCCCUUGUGAGAUUGAAUUAAAAUGACAAAACAAAGUUACAUUGGUUUCGUUUUUUUUUUCUGAUUAUAUUUUAAUUUAUUUUUAUAAUAUGCUUAUUACAUCGUGGAGGAAAAAACAGCUAUGACUAAUUUGAAAAUUAGUAUAACAUUAUGCGUUGUACAAUCAGAACACAAAAUUUUCAUUCUUUUUAAUGAAAAUAAAUAUUCUGAGAUAAGUUACAACUUUGUAUUAAUACUUGUGUUUAUUUUUAGUUAUUAUAUUGAAAGAAAGAGAAGAACUUUAAUUGAACCUAAAGUAGAAAGAUAGAAACAUAAAAAUGAGUGGACAAGUAAGAAAAGAGAGAGAAGGAGAAUUAGAAGUAGUUAAGAAAUAAUAAGAAAAAAGCACUCGUGCCAAAAACGAAGAGUGGAUGAAAAUUACUUCAGAAUUCAAGGCAAGUUCUACGUUCAUAAACAGGGAAUCGCAGGUGCUUAAAAAUCUGUGGGAAAAUAACUAAAAAAAAAAAGCUAAAUUUGUUAGGACGCAACAGAAUAAAAACAUUUUUGCCACAGGUAGGUUGCAUAUUAAAAUCACAAAUUCUAAAUGCAUUUCAGCAUGAUUAAACUUCUUCUAAUCACCAAUUCUUAAUCUAGGAGACGUAGCACCAAAGAAAUUUAAAGAAGAUCCAACUCUGGAAAGAGUCAUUACAUUGAUUUGACCCAAUGUUCAAGGUUUUGUGAAUACCUUUGACAAUGAUGGACCUAUUAUCUCAGUCUUUAAAAAAAAUGAUAAGGAUACUGAUUGUUCGGAAAUAAGUCUCACCGCAAGCAAAAUAAAGUUUGGCUCAAGGGGGCAGCGCAAAUAGAGCACUCUUUGGCGUCCCAGCACCUAGGCGCAUGCGUGACACCAAUUCUCCUUAGGGAUUGGUUAGCGUGAACGGCCAAUGAGAAGGAAGAGAAAGGUUCCAUUUUUAAUAAGUUGGCACUACUUACAGAGCCAGAUCUUACUUACUACAGAUAUGACACGUGUUUUAUAAGUUCCUUGGCUUUGUAGAAAUUGUUAAGAAAAUAUACAGAUAUAUUUUUGUCGUAAACAAA